Molecule: ribosomal RNA, 440 nt
Filed under: uncultured bacterium
Lineage: Bacteria
Description: partial 16S ribosomal RNA
Rfam family: Bacterial small subunit ribosomal RNA
Source: RNAcentral
CCUACGGGAGGCAGCAGUAGGGAAUUUUGCGCAAUGGGCGAAAGCCUGACGCAGCAACGCCGCGUGAUCGAGACGCCCUUCGGGGUGUAAAGAUCCGUCAGUGGGGACGAAACUUGACGGUACCCACAGAGGAAGCACCGGCUAACUCCGUGCCAGCAGCCGCGGUAAUACGGGGGGUGCAGGCGUUGACCAGAAUCCUUGGGCGUAAAGAGUUCGUAGGCGGGACGUAAAGUCUGGUGUUAAAGGCAGGGGCUCAACUGCUGUACGGCACUGGAUACUUGCUAGCUAGAAUGCGGUAGGGGUAAGGGGAAUUCCUGGUGUAGCGGUGAAAUGCGUAGAUAUCAGGAGGAACAUCGGUGGCGUAAGCGCUUUACUGGGCCGUAAUUGACGCUGAGGAACGAAAGCCAGGGUAGCAAAUGGGAUUAGAUACCCGUGUAGUC